This 582-nucleotide ribosomal RNA is filed under the name uncultured bacterium. RNAcentral's name for it is "bacterial SSU rRNA". It matches the Rfam family "Bacterial small subunit ribosomal RNA", at positions 102 to 680 of the family's 1533-position model. The record is from RNAcentral.
ACGGGUGAGUAAUACAUCGGAACGUGUCCUGUAGUGGGGGAUAGCCCGGCGAAAGCCGGAUUAAUACCGCAUACGCUCUACGGAGGAAAGGGGGGGAUCUUAGGACCUCCCGCUAGAGGGGCGGCCGAUGGCAGAUUAGCUAGUUGGUGGGGUAAAGGCCUACCAAGGCGACGAUCUGUAGCUGGUCUGAGAGGACGACCAGCCACACUGGGACUGAGACACGGCCCAGACUCCUACGGGAGGCAGCAGUGGGGAAUUUUGGACAAUGGGCGAAAGCCUGAUCCAGCAAUGCCGCGUGUGUGAAGAAGGCCUUCGGGUUGUAAAGCACUUUUGUCCGGAAAGAAAACCUUCGCCCUAAUAUGGUGGGGGGAUGACGGUACCGGAAGAAUAAGCACCGGCUAACUACGUGCCAGCAGCCGCGGUAAUACGUAGGGUGCAAGCGUUAAUCGGAAUUACUGGGCGUAAAGCGUGCGCAGGCGGUCCGCUAAGACAGAUGUGAAAUCCCCGGGCUUAACCUGGGAACUGCAUUUGUGACUGGCGGGCUAGAGUAUGGCAGAGGGGGGUAGAAUUCCACGUGUAGCA